GAACCUCAAAGCGGCUCU
This 18-nucleotide small nuclear RNA is filed under the name Arabidopsis thaliana (thale cress). Its description in RNAcentral is "snRNA_15272". Lineage: Eukaryota; Viridiplantae; Streptophyta; Magnoliopsida; Brassicales; Brassicaceae. The record is from RNAcentral.